AGUUAAUAAGCUAAAUAAGCUUUUGUUUUGAAAACAAAUAAUAGAAAUAAAAAUUUUUCUAUUAACUU
This 68-nucleotide transfer RNA is filed under the name Sceliphron madraspatanum. Its description in RNAcentral is "tRNA-Ser". Lineage: Eukaryota; Metazoa; Arthropoda; Insecta; Hymenoptera; Sphecidae. The record is from RNAcentral.